This is a long non-coding RNA of Gallus gallus (chicken), 2969 nucleotides long. RefSeq lists it as uncharacterized. The record is from RefSeq and is a predicted model, not a curated record. Lineage: Eukaryota; Metazoa; Chordata; Aves; Galliformes; Phasianidae. The transcript is spliced from 3 exons.
AUGUUUAUAUAUAUAUAUUAUAUAUAUAUAUAAUAACAUUCAAUAAAAGUGUCUUCAGGUUACUUCAGGAAAUAAAUAAUCUUGUUUAUAACCACAUCCAUCUAACUGAUGUUUUCCCUUCCUUCUAGUUACUCUAGAAUCAUAGAGCGGCUUGAGUUGAAAGGGAUCUCAAAGAUCAUCUAGCUUCAAUUGAUCAGCCAUGGAAAGAGUUGCCAACCACUAAAUCAGUCACUAGAUCAAUCUGCCCAGGGCCUCAUCCAACUUGACCUUGAAUAUCUCCAGGCACAGGGAAGUCACUUAUCUGAGUAUAAUUUUCCAGCACCUCACCAUCCUCCCAGUGAAAAAUGAAAUCCCGACAUCUGAUCUAAGCCUCUCCCUCUUGUCCUAUCAGCCUCUACCAUGCAAACAUUUGAUUCUCCUCCUUCUUCAAGACCAAUUUAGAGAGAAAAAUAAGCAUGGGAUUGGAGAUUUUAAGGUGGUUCAAAGAGACAGAAGGCAGCAAUACAAAGUAACCAAGGCUACAGCUAUUCCUCAGGAAGUGAAGAAACAGUCAUCUCCUGGACAAUUUUUGGCAAUCAGUCUAUUGAGAGUGCGGAUCACUCUCAGUACAGCUGUUUGGAUGAAACCACAUUCUUACAGAGAUAAGAGAGCUUUGUAUUAUGGUUGUAGUUCUUCCUUGCCAGCUGGGCUCUUUGUGAAGAGAUAACCCCAAACAUAUUUAAGGUAUGGUAGCCAACAGUUCUUGCAAAGAGCUUAGUCAAUAUGUUGGAAUCCACUGAAGAAUGUCUGUGACUGAAUGCUAGCUUUUAGAUAACUCAUGUAGGUGAUUUUGACAGUAAGUGACCACUGAAAGAUUGAUCUUCAUAAAUUGGUCAGAACAGCAGAAAAUAAGAACGAUGAAGGAUAGGCUGUUGGAAAGAGCAACUCAGUCAAUCAAUAAGGAAUAAAGAAAAAAAUAAUCCUUUCAAGUAAAAAGAAGUUACUUGGCUCCCUUUGUACAUUAUUAGUCACAGUUAAAAGGUAUUAAUUUUUAAUAAAAGCAAAAAGAAACCCAACAGCUAUCCACUGAUAAAAUUAACUGAUAAUACCAUAAUCAGUUGUUGAAAAAAGGCACACAAGUGCCAGUGAACUCUAUUAUUCUGUUUGUCUUCAACUUGUUACAUUUACAGAAUAUCUCAAAGUUUGUUUUCCAAUUUAUAACAGCACAGUUAUAAAAUUAGAUCAGUUGAUACACAAUUCACUGAUAACUUACUUCUCUGUAAAACAGUGGUUGCAGCUCCAUACAUGAAACUAACACUCAUCCUGAUAUAGCAAUCCCUAUAUAGUACUUUGAAAAACAGGAUAGAUUUUAACAUGUUACUCUAUUUUCUAGUUAGAGGUGCAUGCUAGCUUUCCAAUUUUUUAUGCCUGAAUUCCAAGUAGAAAUCCUCAAUUACUAUCACUUAACACAAAUGUGCUUCUGUUGUAAAGCCUUACACUAACAGCCAUUAAUCCAGUAAUAUUUAAUGUCUCAAAAGGAUUACAAUACACGGGAGGAUCAGAAUUAAGAGAGGAUUUCUCACUUAAUUAUCCAACUCCGGAUAAUUCAGAAGGUGAAAACUAUCAUUCUACUCUUCACUGAUUUCAUUAAUAUGCAGAUUAUACUUAUCCAUGUCAUACAAUUAAACCUAUAUCAGGUCCAUCUUUGUUUACCUCAUCUUCCUACCUUCCUCCAUUUCCCAGUUCUAGGCUACUACAUUUUUUGCUGAUAUAGGGAAAGCAUUGUAAAACUGUCAUUUGAUACAUGGUACAUUGUUGCCCAAGUACAAAUACAAAUAAGCUGCAAGGAAUAUAAAGUUGGUGCUUUUUUCUUUUUAAAUAACGCUUAAACAACAGGCAAAGAUUAUAACUACUAUAAAAAUAAUUAUACCACAGAGAAGCAUAACUGACCUCAAUCCAUUAUGUAUUUAGUUCCAAAUGGCCUACAGAGAAUUACCCACUUUCUUGACAGCUGAAAUUUAUUAGUUUUGUUACUGAUUAUACCACUUUAUAGUAUUAGUACAGCAUAGGCAGGGCAGUACUACCAUGUACAUAUAAUGUACACAAAAUCUUUAUUAUAAAUCUGCUGAUUGAAUGCUAAAUUUCUAGAAUAAAAGUAACAUUUUAGGUUUGUUUAUAUAUUAUUUCUUAUUGCUUUAUUAAGAUUAAAAAUAUUAAUUGUUCAAAAGCAGCUCAAGAGUGGAAAGUAUGCUGCCUAGGCACAUCUGAAAUUCCACACUAGCAAAGGCAAAAUCUUAAACAAACAUCACCAUAGCUCAUAAUAUCCAUUUCUCACAUAAAACUGAAUAUAAACUGCAGCUGAACAAAAUAAAACAAACAAAAAAAAAAGAUGUGAGAACUGAUGCAAAGUCUUCCUUGACAGGCCUCAUUUCAGAGGUAGGUGGUGGAAUUUACCUGCACUGGGCACGGCUGUAGUGGAAUUUAUUAUCUUCCUCACUGCCCACAUGGUGCUGUGUUUUAGACUGGUGACAGCACUGAUAACACACUUUGCUUAUGGAUGCUUUAGGUAUUGCUGAACAUCAAGGCUUAAUCUGUGCUCCAGCAGGUAGGGAUAGUGGGAGGGUACAAGACUGACUCAAGCUGACCAAAGGGAUAUUCCACAGAAUGGUAAAACAUCAGGUUCAGCAAUAAAAUUAGGGAGGGGAGCUUUUAUGAAGUUGUAAUUGUUCAAAGACUGGGUGGGUGUGGUCCACUGCUCUUGAGUGACUCCUCUAGCAUUUUUCUUUUCUUCCCUUUUUCUUAUUUAACUCACUUGACCCACAAGUUUCUUUUUUCACUUUUGUCUUUCUGAUGCUCUAACCUAUUGUAAGGUCAAUAAGAAUACCGAUGUUGGAAAGUAUUGGAUGAUCAAUAAGUACACAGAGAAGUUAGGCUUAAUAAGAUUAUCACUUUGGAAAAGAUAAUCAUAGAUAAAUGAAAGUGCUCACCAG